Meriones unguiculatus (Mongolian gerbil) is the source of this 946-nucleotide long non-coding RNA. RefSeq lists it as uncharacterized. The record is from RefSeq and is a predicted model, not a curated record. The transcript is spliced from 4 exons. NCBI's taxonomy places the organism in Eukaryota, Metazoa, Chordata, Mammalia, Rodentia, Muridae.
CUUCCGGUUCUGGGGCGUCUGCGCGUGCGCACCGCGAGUGCCCCGCCCCGCUGCUGGCUCGCGGCCCCCUCGCUUUGCUCGUCCAGCCUCAGGUGCGAAGGUGAAGCCGAUACUGAAGCUAAGGCACGCUAUUGCGAAUCAGCCCGUUGCUGAGAAUCACAAUGUCUGGUUCAUGCCUGCAGCCACAGCUCUAGAACUGGCACUUGGCUGGUACCAGCCACGGCCUGUCUUGGACAGAGACCCCAGAAUGGACCCAGAACUUGUCAGCUGAAGUUAUUGGAGAUAGGUGACCUCCUCCACAGACACCAGCAGCCUGACAGGUUUUGCUCACCAAAGAAUCGCUCAGGGAAUCCCUGCUUUGCAAGUCGUCUCCCGCAAGCUUUCGGCCUUGAUUCCUGAUCCCGAAUGUUCUCCUUUCCCCAUCCCGUUGGACUUGGACUGAUGUCAACCCUGAUUCAUGUUUCUUGCACUGCAAGCUGGCCCCUAAUGCCGUUUAAUUGAAAGGACCUUUCUUGAAGGAGGCGUCCAUCGUUGUUGGCACAGAUUAUCUUGGCUGUACGUAGAUGCUGCACAAGUCACUUAGGUUUAUGGAAUACUUAAGGGGAUGUGAGAACAGGGAAACUUCAUGGAGGAAGAGAGGAUUCCCCUCCACACACCCAUGCCUGCCGAUGGGUGUGUGUAAGACACACACAGGGUAUCACUGCUCUUGAAUCUUCUGACUUACUCUGAAUGGGGAUGGAGCAGGCAAAGCAGGAUGGAUCAAUUUCAUUUCAAUUGUAGUAUAUGUGCUGCCGAAGCGAACACAAGACCUCGUCGCAUCUGUUCCUGCUCCUUCUCAUCCAGAAUGUGAUUCCCAUCCCGAUCAAACCUGGUGAAGGCAGCUGUGAGCUCACAGACCUCAUGCUCCUCGUGCCCCAGUCUGAGAAAAGCAAGAGGAUGAAGCAAC